RNAcentral lists this ribosomal RNA (913 nucleotides) under Acanthogyrus sp. 1 NKG-2016. Its description in RNAcentral is "bacterial SSU rRNA". It matches the Rfam family "Eukaryotic small subunit ribosomal RNA", at positions 83 to 956 of the family's 1831-position model. The record is from RNAcentral. Lineage: Eukaryota; Metazoa; Acanthocephala; Eoacanthocephala; Gyracanthocephala; Quadrigyridae.
AGGACCGAAUUCGGCUCAUUAAAUAAGUCAUGGUUUAUUAGAUCAUACGAAUUAUAUGGAUAACUGUGGAAAAUCUAGAGCUAAUACAUGCCACGAUGCUUCGACUUACGAAGAAGUGCUUUUAUUAGAUCAAAGCCAAUGUCGUCUUCGGGCGGCUGGUUUGUGGUGACUCUGAGUAAAGUAAGCUGAUUGCAUUGCUCUUUUGAGCAGGCGACGUAUCUUUCAAGUGUCUUACCUAUCAACUAUCGUUGGUAGUUGAUAUGACUACCAUGGUCGUUACGGGUAACGGGGAAUCAGGGUUCGAUUCCGGAGAGAGAGCAUGAGAAACGGCUGUCACAUCCAAGGAAGGCAGCAGGCGCGCAAAUUACCCAAUCCCAGAUCGGGGAGGUAGUGACGAAAAAUAACGAUGCCGUAAUCUUCGGAUUCGGCAAUUGGAAUGAGAACAAUCGAAAUCCUUUAUCGAGGAUCGAUUGGAGGGCAAGUUCUGGUGCCAGCAGCCGCGGUAAUUCCAGCUCGAAUAGCGUAUGUUAAAUUUGCUGCGGUUAAAAAGCUCGUAGUUGGGUGUCAGAAGAUGAACUGGGCGCUGCCAUGCCAUUGUGCGUAUGUGCAGCAUUGCUCUAGUUUCACUUCUUAAAUGUCACCAUUCCUGCGUCAAGGAAACCCAAUUGGUUUUGGGUGACGCAAACUGGAAGGUGUGAACGAGACUACUUUGAGAAAAUUAGCGUGCUUAACGCAGGCGCUCUUGCUUGUAUACUGUUGCAUGGAAUAAUGAGAUAGGACCUCGGGUUCUGUUUCGUUGGUUUCCCGGAAGUCGAGGUAAUUGAUUGAUAGGGACAAACGGGGGGCAUUUCGUAUUGUUGGUGUAGGAGGUGAAUUCUCUAUUGGAUUCCACCCGCCAAGGGACGAAACCAUC